This 253-nucleotide ribosomal RNA is filed under the name uncultured Eubacteriales bacterium. Its description in RNAcentral is "uncultured Clostridiales bacterium partial 16S ribosomal RNA". It matches the Rfam family "Bacterial small subunit ribosomal RNA", at positions 524 to 776 of the family's 1533-position model. The record is from RNAcentral. Lineage: Bacteria; Bacillati; Bacillota; Clostridia; Eubacteriales.
UACGGAGGAUUCAAGCGUUAUCCGGAUUUAUUGGGUUUAAAGGGUGCGUAGGCGGCGCGUUAAGUCUGAUGUGAAAACCCGAGGCUCAACCACGGGAGUGCAUUGGAAACUGGCGAGCUGGAGUGCCGGAGAGGUAAGCGGAAUUCCUAGUGUAGCGGUGAAAUGCGUAGAUAUUAGGAGGAACACCAGUGGCGAAGGCGGCUUACUGGACGGCAACUGACGCUGAGGCUCGAAAGCGUGGGUAUCAAACAGG